ACAUCAAUGCAAAGGUGAACCGAGACAAUAAAAAUAAGAUCGAGUUCGUUCAGCUAACAUAAAGGCAUUCCAGUCGAGCGAUGAAUGAAUCAGGGCAUCAUUCUCAAGCACAGGCAAGUAGUUUUGUUUGCUCGUGUGUGCUUGUAAUGAAAAAGUGCGUCUGGUCUCAGGUGCACACCUGUUGAGGCGCCGAGGCCGUGGGAUACCGAUCAUUCAGCAGCCUAUCGCCGUCCACUGCUGAACAUAGGCCUCUCCAAUAGAUUUCCAGUGCGACCGGUCCAUUGCCACCUGCAUCCAACGAGGCCCAGCGCUUUUUACUAGGUCGUCGGUCCACACACUCAUCACUUUUAAUUAUUAUUCUCAUAAUCCUCUGGCAGGUCUGCUGGAAGAGAUCUCUUAAAGAAAUAAGCAGUGCCUUUGUACAUAAUUUUCCUAUUACUCUGUACUAUGUCUUCUUUUCUGUGUGUACAUAAAUAAAUAGAAAUAUGUACAUUCAAAUUGAUUGAGAUUUAAUAUUAUCACUAGCACAGGUAAACGCGCCAAUGAAUAGAGAAAAGCCACACUAAUUAUUUAAUUGUAUGAUACAACAUUUAAUUAAAAAUUAUCCUAACAAAUUCUAUAUUUCCAUAAUGGUUCGUUACAAUAUAGUAAGCAAGAUAACGGUAUUUAUUGAUUUGAAAGAAUAAUUUCAAUACAGUUCAUAAUACGUAUAACUUGUGUUUACAAACUUCUACUCAAUUAAUUUAUUUCAGACCCACCUAGCCUGUCUUUUUACUGAAUGACGGUAGGGCGCUACAGAUGCUUCCACAGGUCUUUACUAACGUGAAAUUCGGUCGGCGUAGCUUAUUUGUACCGUGAAAUAAUCAUGCGAUCAGAGUUGAAUAACUAAUGUUAAUAUUAAGAAAUGCUAUUAAAAAAAGACAAAGACUUAAACCUAUGUCUCUAGAUGGACGACACUAUUUCUGUUGUAGUCAUAACGUUAUACCAUACGGAGCUUACACGUUACACUUCAUUUUUGUUAGCACAUUUAAUUACCUUUCUCGAAGUUUCGUCAGACGCUUUGCCUAUAUGAAUGGGCAACACUGUACAUCGCGAAAUUGAAGGUCCGUGCCCGGAAGUGGCAGUGAAAAGCUAGCCUCUAAAAUGUUUCUCAGGGUUUAAACUAAUUUCAUUGCGAAUCUCAUGUGAUGUAUGAAACAUUCCUUAUAAUCUAUGUUAACCUACCUAAUGUAAUCGUAAGUGUAAUCCUAUAUAAACUAAGUGUGUAGUCAAAUAAAUCGGAGUAUUAUUCGGA
Long non-coding RNA from Bombyx mori (domestic silkworm), 1294 nucleotides. RefSeq lists it as uncharacterized. The transcript has 2 exons. The record is from RefSeq and is a predicted model, not a curated record. Lineage: Eukaryota; Metazoa; Arthropoda; Insecta; Lepidoptera; Bombycidae.